This 389-nucleotide ribosomal RNA is filed under the name Takayama sp. RNAcentral describes it as "partial small subunit ribosomal RNA". It matches the Rfam family "Eukaryotic small subunit ribosomal RNA", at positions 582 to 975 of the family's 1831-position model. The record is from RNAcentral. Lineage: Eukaryota; Dinophyceae; Gymnodiniales; Kareniaceae.
AUUCCAGCUCCAAUAGCGUAUAUUAAAGUUGUUGCGGUUAAAAAGCUCGUAGUUGGAUUUCUGCCGAGGACGACCGGUCCGCCCUCUGGGUGCGUAUCUGGCUCGGCCUGGGCAUCUUCUUGGAGAACGUAUCUGCACUUGACUGUGUGGUGCGGUAUCCAGGACUUUUACUUUGAGGAAAUUAGAGUGUUUCAAGCAGGCACACGCCUUGAAUACAUUAGCAUGGAAUAAUAAGAUAGGACCUUGGUUCUAUUUUGUUGGUUUCUAGAGCUGAGGUAAUGAUUAAUAGGGAUAGUUGGGGGUAUUCAUAUUUAAUUGUCAGAGGUGAAAUUCUUGGAUUUAUGAAAGAUGAACUCAUGCGAAAGCAUUUACCAAGGAUGUUUUCAUCG